AUGCUUUUCUCUGCAUCUGUUUUCUACAGCAGGCAGGCGUCGAGGAGCAUGGCAGAGCUGAAUUCAUUCCCUGCUGAAGCUGGACAAAAGCCCCAGCAGACCACGUAUCCUGUGCCAUGUCUCGACUGGGGCAUUCAACUCCUUGUGAGCGGCUCCCUGUGGUCUCUGGGACCCAACAGCCAGCAAGGAAAGGAACAGGACACUUGGCUGAGCUGUAGGGGCAUGAGACUGGAGUCUCUGCUACAACACAGAUGUCUUGCUCACUUCUCUAGACUGCAAAUCCCUGUCUGCGGGAUGACAUUACGCUGUGCUGGAGGAAAGGGGCUUAUUCCGGAGCAGGAAUAAACAGCCACGUGGUGUGGUCCAGGCUGGAGUAAAUGGAUCCCCACACUGGUAAAGACAAUGCACGGGGGGGGGAAGGAGGGCGUGAAUGGGAUUUGCACUUCUAAGAGGCUUAGAGCAGCUUUGGAAAAGCCUGUCUGGUGUGUGAGCACUGCUUCCUUCAGAGCAGGGCAUGGCAGUUGCCCCACCAAGUAGGGCACUGUGCUCUCUUGCAGGCACACACUCUGUGUGCUAGGACCUCGUCUUUGCAUGGCUCCUGCCGAUGGGAUGUGCCUGGGGGGACUGAAGGGAUGGGGAAGGAUCCUGCACCUUUCUGAAGUGCAGCCACUUGAAAGUCCACUUGCAGUUGCACUUGAUCUUUGUUAGAUCCCUUCCAGCUGAACUGUCCUAUCCUAUUUCCUAUCCUAUUUUCGCACUGUCUUCUGAGAGACCGAGAGAGCAUGGGUGAGCUCUGCAGCAGCCGCAGAAGCAAGACAAGACAAGGGCAAUCCCAGUAACUGCAUGCAGACGCCUCGAAGGAGACACAGCACAAGCCGUGCUUCUCAAAGUGGCCGAGAGCACGGCAAAUCAGAUCGCCCAGGCCACACAUUCAAAAUGUAAUCACGGAAAACACCCAGCCCUUGGGAAGGAAUGCUCUGGGUGAAAUUCUGCAGAGUUUGGUGCACUCAGACAGCAAAUGAGAUAACACACCUGAGCAGCAAAGAGCCAGCAGUUUUGUGGAUAGUGGAUGGCGACGUGAAGGCUAAUGUCAAAUUAGUUUGAAUGUCCAGUGAAGCAUGCCUCUAAUCAGCAAAGGUGAUUGCAUCUAUGCCUUAAAAUAAGCAAUUGCCCCUGAACGACCCAAAUUUGCUGCUGAGCAGCGGCUGGCGCAGCAGACGCUGCGGCAGGAGGAAGGCUGCUCGCCGCUGAGGGGACGCGGAGAGUCUGACAGCUCUGACAGCUGUCUCUUGAGACCGUUUCACAAAACCUUGGGAUUAAUGGAAAUGCCACUCAAGCAAGAUGCGGUGAUUAGGGACGUGAAAUAUGGAGCUGAAUUCCUUUUUUUCAUGACUGAGUGAAGGCAAGCAGGUGGCUCACACCUGGUAAGGUCACCUGAAAGCAGAUCGUGACAUUUAUCAGGUCUGGAAGUGACAUCCCAUCCUCUCCUGUCCAAGGAGGGUCAGAGCUCCUUUUUGGGGCUGGCAAAUCCCCCAGGAGGUGCUGGACUCACCGGCUGAGCUCCUAGAGGGUGGCUGGUGACCCUGAGGAGCAAAACCCAGCUGCUGAAAGGAGUUGAGCUGGCAGCUGGGAGGGAGAAAACUUCUCAGCUUUGAAACCUGGUCAGUCUCUGACUGUCCUGGUCUUAUCACACAGUUGUCACAAGUUUUCUUGCUCUGUCCUCUGAAAUGCCUGGUGGAGGAACAAGGAGUGAGCCAUCCUGCAGAAGAUCAGGGAUUCUGUCCUGGCUGGGUGGAAGGUUGCGAUCUGACAUAGAAAGCCUUUGGCCAAAAUAUGUGCAGCUCCCAACAUGUCUGGGCUGCGACCUCGGGCUGCUGGGCUUUUCAGCAUUCUGAAUAGAAGCAGACAAAAGUGCUUGGAUUGGCCCCAAAACCUAAUCUCCACUGUUGGGUUUGCUGGGAGAGAGGGAGGGCGUAACAGGCUUUAAAGUGCAUAUAUUUAUGCAUACACACACAGGGUUUUUAGUACAUAAUGCACACCAAUAUAUAUAAUCUAGA
Molecule: long non-coding RNA, 2057 nt
Organism: Cairina moschata (Muscovy duck)
Lineage: Eukaryota; Metazoa; Chordata; Aves; Anseriformes; Anatidae
Source: Ensembl